Molecule: transfer RNA, 65 nt
Filed under: Dipodomys ordii (Ord's kangaroo rat)
Lineage: Eukaryota; Metazoa; Chordata; Mammalia; Rodentia; Heteromyidae
Rfam family: tRNA
About the family: Transfer RNA (tRNA) molecules are approximately 80 nucleotides in length. Their secondary structure includes four short double-helical elements and three loops (D, anti-codon, and T loops).
Source: Rfam by way of RNAcentral
GGUGGCUCAGUGGUAGAGCGCUUGCCUCACAUGCAAGAGGCCCUGGGUUCGAUUCCUCAGCACCA